This 515-nucleotide ribosomal RNA is filed under the name uncultured bacterium. RNAcentral describes it as "partial 16S ribosomal RNA". It matches the Rfam family "Bacterial small subunit ribosomal RNA", at positions 28 to 523 of the family's 1533-position model. The record is from RNAcentral.
GAUGAACGCUGGCGGCGUGCCUAAUACAUGCAAGUCGAGCGAAUGGAUUAAGAGCUUGCUCUUAUGAAGUUAGCGGCGGACGGGUGAGUAACACGUGGGUAACUUGCCCAUAAGACUGGGAUAACUCCGGGAAACCGGGGCAAAUACCGGAUAACAUUUUGAACCGCAUGGUUCGACAUUGAAAGGCGGCUUCGGCUGUCACUUCUGGAUGGACCCGCGUCGCAUUAGCUAGUUGGUGAGGUAACGGCUCACCAAGGCAACGAUGCGUAGCCGACCUGAGAGGGCGAUCGGCCACACUGGGACUGAGACACGGCCCAGACUCCUACGGGAGGCAGCAGUAGGGAAUCUUCCGCAAUGGACGAAAGUCUGACGGAGCAACGCCGCGUGAGUGAUGAAGGCUUUCGGGUCGUAAAACUCUGUUGUUAGGGAAGAACAAGUGCUAGUUGAAUAAGCUGGCACCUUGACGGUACCUAACCAGAAAGCCACGGCUAACUACGUGCCAGCAGCCGCCGUAA